AGUUGGAUGUUGGGGGUUGGUUGACUUGAGUUGGGGCUCGAUUGACCUACCCCAACAGCCCCUUCCCAUCAAUAUCAAUACGCAUUGAAACAUCAUUUCGGACAUAGUAAUAACAGCAACAAAGGUCAAUAAGAAACCAACUCCCAUCAGUAAUGAAGAUUUGAAUUACAUCAUUUGGGAAGUAACAUGAAAGCCAAUUUAUAUUUGCAGCUAGACAAAAGGAAACAAAACAAAACAUCAGGAAACAAAGCAUCAUGUAAUCACAUAGUAACCAUCCCGAAUACAGCUAGAUAGAAGGAAGAUUAUAUUUGCAGCCGUGUAUGUGAUGAAAUUCCUAUACACUAAUCUAGAACUUCAGCAGCAUGAAGAUUCGUAGCAGGUAACAAUGUACAUUGUACAUUAAAGAUGAACAGAAGCAACCCUUGAGCACAAGCAUUGAUAUGUAUUCUUGGUCAGUGAAGAAUAUGAAAGAUCUUUCUAUAGAGUAAAGCAGCUAAUGGCAUUGAAAGAAAUGAACCCAAAUAUAGAUCAUGAGAUUAAAAACAAGGAUAGAACAGUUUAACGG
RNAcentral lists this long non-coding RNA (565 nucleotides) under Elaeis guineensis (African oil palm). RNAcentral describes it as "long non-coding RNA (EGUI_LNC001320)". Lineage: Eukaryota; Viridiplantae; Streptophyta; Magnoliopsida; Arecales; Arecaceae. The record is from RNAcentral.